Long non-coding RNA from Leopardus geoffroyi (Geoffroy's cat), 1363 nucleotides. RefSeq lists it as uncharacterized. The transcript is spliced from 7 exons. Lineage: Eukaryota; Metazoa; Chordata; Mammalia; Carnivora; Felidae. The record is from RefSeq and is a predicted model, not a curated record.
ACGAGAAAGGAUGAGAAGAGGCAAAGAAGGCGGAAAAAAAAGAAACACUGCAGCCAAGCGAAGAGCCAGAGAGUGUGGGAAGGCGGUGCCGGCGACGCCAGUAUUUAUAGACCACCUUGGGAAAGACAGCAAACUGGGAAGAAUGCGUGUAGGCUCUGGCCCAGGCAGACCUGGGGUGAAUCCCAGUGUUCAGUGCUGCUUCUCAGCGGCUGUUGAACCCCAGAUGCUUCAAAAACCAAGAAAGUGUAAGAAGACGGUGAAGUGUUCCUCUCACCUGUCCUCCAUCCGCUCAAUUCUACCACGAAAGGCCUGUGGUUGCUAUCGGUGAACCGAGGUCUGCUCCGAUGCCCAAUGGCUUCUCGCAUGUGGCUGCAUUCCUCUCUGUGUCUCAUCUCUGUGAGCCCUGGGUCUGUGUGAGAGUGCGGUCUCUGAAGAGCAUGUCUCGAAAGGAGGCUGGGACGUGAGAAGACAUAACCUGCAAGGAGUAGAACCCCGUCAUAAACAGAAUGGAGCGCUCCAUCCACCCGUCCGUCCACUCAACAAACGGUCGGCAGCUGCUCUCUGCCAGGCACUCUGCCCGGGGGUGGGAUAGCGCAGCAAUGACAGGCAUUCACAUUCUGCAGAGAGCGAGGCAGAAAAUUAACAAACACACGAGAAAAUAUCAGAUUUUAAAGUAACCGCUACACCCAAUGUGAGGCUUGAACUUACAACCCUGAAUCAAGAGACACCUACUCUACCGACUGACCCAGCCAGGUGCUCCAACAAUGGAUAACUUUUUAACAGCCACCCGUGAGGAUACAUGCCUAUGCCUGGAAAGCGUCACAGCAUUGUGUGGCCGAGCCACAGAGGUGGCAGUUACGUGACCGUCUGAUGGACCACUAUUGACCAGGGAGCUCUCUCAGGGAGCCUUCUGGACAGUCAGCUGACAUAGACCCAGGGCCAUGGGCCGGGAGUGGGGCUUAGGCCAGGAGGCCUGAGAAAAGUGGGACAUCUCCAGGGUAGAUGCUGAGUUCAGCAACAACAACACGUACCACCUAGGCAGUCUGGCUCAUCACCAUGAGCAGCAGGAAGCUGCAGCUGCAAAAACGAACUUUUCUAGUUCGUAGUGAAAAGGGGGUGAGCACUUGCGUCAUUGAACAUCAAACAUAUCACAAACACGAGAGCUUAAUGGGGCCAGUGUGAUACUCAGGAAGAGGCAAUAAAAAAUUGGUAAGAAGGUAAGCAGAAGCAGAUAAACUAUUCCCUGUUGCGGAGGAACAGGAAUUCAUAAAAGAAUUCACUGGGUAUAAACUCACAUUUCUGUUUGAGAAAGCCGCGCAUUAUGUUGUGUAGUUUGUGUUUAGGAGUGUUUUAAAAAUUAUGU